GAUGAACGCUGGCGGCGUGCCUAAUACAUGCAAGUCGAGCGAACAGACGAGUACCUUGCUCCUCUGACGUUAACGGCGUACGUGUGAGGAACACAUUGAUAACCUACCUUUAAGACUGUGAUAACUUCGGGAAACCGGUGCUAAUUCCGGCUAAUAUAUUCAACCGCAUGGUUCAAUAGUGUAAGACCGUUGUGCUUUCACUUGUACAUUCAUCCGCGCCGCAUUAGCUUGUUGGUAAGUUAACGUCUUACCAAGCCGACGAUGCGUAGCCGACGUUAGAGGGUGAUCGGCCACACGAGAACGGAGCCACGGACAAGACUACUAAGGGAGGCAGCAGUAGGGAAUGUUACGCAAUGGGCGAAAGUAUGACGGAGCAACGGCGCGUGAGUGAUGACGGUGUUGCGAUCGUAAAACUCUGUUAUUAGGGAAGAACCAAUGUGUAAGUCACUAUGCACGAAUUGACGGUACCUACACAGAAAGCAACGGCUAACUACGUG
This 497-nucleotide ribosomal RNA is filed under the name uncultured bacterium. RNAcentral's name for it is "partial 16S ribosomal RNA". It matches the Rfam family "Bacterial small subunit ribosomal RNA", at positions 28 to 507 of the family's 1533-position model. The record is from RNAcentral.